UACACUCUAGAUUGACAGAACACUGUCAUGUCCUUUAGGGGCAGACACAUUGGGGACUUCAGGAGAAGAUCCAUCUGCUUCCCCUCAACAAAACAAUACAAUCCAAUACAUCUUACUGGCUGUUUUACCAGUCAUACUGAUCAUCGCUGGAGUGGCUUUGUACAUAUACAAGAGAAACAAAGGAAAGAAAAACACGGAGGAGAAAAGUAGUGGGGGCAAAACAGAAGGAGAGAAAAAGGAUGAGUCCUCUGCAAUGUGUGCCAUGAUUGCAGACAGAAACACUGGUUUAGGCGACAAGAUAACAAUACCGCUCAGUGCACCAG
RNAcentral lists this long non-coding RNA (323 nucleotides) under Salmo salar (Atlantic salmon). RNAcentral describes it as "lncRNA (ENSSSAG00000114762.1, ENSSSAG00020051231.1, ENSSSAG00075062442.1)". The record is from RNAcentral. Lineage: Eukaryota; Metazoa; Chordata; Actinopteri; Salmoniformes; Salmonidae.